Molecule: unclassified non-coding RNA, 1933 nt
Filed under: Dermacentor andersoni
Lineage: Eukaryota; Metazoa; Arthropoda; Arachnida; Ixodida; Ixodidae
Description: uncharacterized LOC126547844
Source: RNAcentral
GGUGCGCACCAAUCUCGGAGGCCAUGACCUUCGCUCCAAUGGGAAAACUUUGGGAAAACGAGCGAAGGAGGCACUGUUCACAGUGAUCAGCUGCGCGCGGGCGGCGCGUUUGUGCUAGAACUUCGUUUGUGCAGCAUUAAUGACGCUCGAAUGCAUGCGCCGACUAAAGUUUAUCCACAUGCCCAGGGAGAACACGGUGUCUAAGAUAUGCAGGUGAUGUUUAUGUAUCCGAUGCCGUUCGAUAUUACGGAAUCGGCCCUCUUUGAUGCGGUUACAACAGGCGAUGAAUUAUCUGUUCGCCGACUCCUAGAUGACAAUGCUCCAUUUACCAUCACCAACAAUGAUGGCGAAAACUUCCUUCAUCUGCUGGCUAAGCAAAAUUUCAGUACAUUGUCACCACAAGACAGUGCUUUAAGGCAGAAACGUCGGCGCAACAUCAUUUAUAUGCUUUCCGACGAAGGGCUUCGCCCCGACCUCCGCGAUUCGAUGGGCAGAACUCCUAUGCACUAUGCCAUCCAGAAUUCAGACCCACACCUUUUCAAGAUAUUACUUCAGUGUUCUCCAAAUCCACCUGAUGACAUAUGUGCUGCCGCCGUGCCCACAUUAUUGCAAGAGGUGCUUAACAAGUUUAAGCCUGGACUAUGCGCUGCUAUUCAACAGCAUUGUAUAACAGACGUACGUAGAAUAGUUAACAUGUGGUGCCGCACUGAUGCCCUCACGAAUGGCUGCAAUCUUAAGGAACUUGCUCUGGAGUCCGGCCACGAAGAAAUCAUAAGCUUGAUACUUGGAGUCGAGCCAUCAAUGCGUCUAGUCCACCAUGUGCUUGCAAGAAAAGUUGAGAAAGUAAGAAAGCUCCUUGGGACGGAACGGGGGAAUCUGAACCUGGAUCUUCGAAACAUGAGUGACCACGGUGCCCCAAUUCUAUACUAUGCCAUUGCUAACAAGGAUACGGACAUUGUGAGGCUUCUUGUGUCAGCAGGCUGUCACAUCUUUACACUUAUGCGUGAUGCGGACAAUCAAGAGAUUCCCGUUCUUUUCUCUGCUCUUACCGCGGAUAUGAGCCCCAAAUUGGCCAAUGCACUGAUGCCAAAGGACUUGCCAAGUCAGCGGGAAGUCAUCAGAAGACUUUUGUACAAGAGCAGGACUAUUCUGGAAGUUGCCCUUGAGAAAAGAAUACCUCCAGUGACAUUAGAAAUACUUAUAUACCGUGGAGGUGCUGAGCUGCUGGCUGGAAGAAACCCGGUAACAAUACAAUCACAUCUUUUGGAUAACAAGACAGUGAGAGACAUUGCUCAGCAUGCUGAACAAUAUGAAUAUGUUGAAGCUGUUGAUAAGGUUGUUAGGGAGUGGGUGAAAAAUACCGCAAGUUAUCCUGAUCAGCGGCAGCUACUAGCCUUAUGUGGGUAUGACCACAUUACAGAGCUUUUUCCAAGAGACUCACUGAUGCAGUUGGCACCUGAUACUGUCAAAUACCUGGAAGGUGUUACGGAUUACCAGGAACAGAUUGCAGAACUCUCACGAGCUGUUGAGGAUGGAAACUAUGAAAGAUUUGAAGAAUUAAGAACAUACAGUUCUGCAGUGUUCAGAACAAAUAUAUCCUGGGAAGCAUGUCAAAAGGCAAAUGGCCAGCCACUUCUUCAUAGAGCUGUGCUGUUCAACCGUCCCCAUAUUGUAAAAACAAUUUUACACAACGUUCCUGCUGGUCAGUCUGUGGACACCCUUUUAGAUCAGCUGCCGGUAUUUUUUACAGCAUCACCGUACUGCCCUCCACUAUGCCUAUGCCAUGCCUGAUGGCGAUCAUUUAAUUAAGCUCCUCAUGAAUGCUGGCUGCUCUGAGCACACGCUUGACAGGAAAGGAAUGGAACCAUUAGACUUCAAGAUGCGUUGUGGGUCACCUGCGAUGGAGGCACUACUGAAGCAUAUACGCAGUAAG